RNAcentral lists this ribosomal RNA (253 nucleotides) under uncultured bacterium. RNAcentral's name for it is "partial 16S ribosomal RNA". It matches the Rfam family "Bacterial small subunit ribosomal RNA", at positions 524 to 776 of the family's 1533-position model. The record is from RNAcentral.
UACGUAGGGUGCGAGCGUUGUCCGGAAUUACUGGGCGUAAAGAGCUCGUAGGUGGUUUGUCGCGUUGUUCGUGAAAACUCACAACUCAAUUGUGGGCGUGCGGGCGAUACGGGCAGACUGGAGUACUGCAGGGGAGACUGGAAUUCCUGGUGUAGCGGUGGAAUGCGCAGAUAUCAGGAGGAACACCGGUGGCGAAGGCGGGUCUCUGGGCAAUUCCUGACGCUGAGGCGCGAAAGCGUGGGGAGCAAACGGG